GAUGAAGAACGUAGCGAAAUGCGAUAAGUAAUGUGAAUUGCAGAAUUCAGUGAAUCAUCGAAUCUUUGAACGCACAUUGCGCCCGCCAGUAUUCUGGCGGGCAUGCCUGUCCGAGCGUCAUUUCAACCAUCAAGCCCCGGGCUUGUGUUGGGGACCUGCGUCCGACGCAGGCCCCGAAAACCAGUGGCGGGCUCGCUGUCCACACCGAGCGUAGUAGCUAACCUCGCUCCGGAGUGGCGCGGGCGCCUGCCGUAAAACCCCCCCAAUUUUACAAGGUUGACCUCGGAUCAGGUAGGAAUACCCGCUGAACUUAAGCAUAUCAAUAAGCGGAGGA
Molecule: unclassified non-coding RNA, 334 nt
Filed under: soil metagenome
Description: partial contains 5.8S ribosomal RNA, internal transcribed spacer 2, and large subunit ribosomal RNA
Rfam family: 5.8S ribosomal RNA (bases 1-120)
Source: RNAcentral